CAGCAGCCGCGGGAAUACGUAGGUGGCAAGCGUUGUCCGGAAUUAUUGGGCGUAAAGGGCUCGCAGGCGGUUUCUUAAGUCUGAUGUGAAAGCCCCCGGCUCAACCGGGGAGGGUCAUUGGAAACUGGGAAACUUGAGUGCAGAGGAGGAGAGUGGAAUUCCACGUGUAGCGGUGAAAUGCGUAGAGAUGUGGAGGAACACCAGUGGCGAAGGCGACUCUCUGGUCUGUAACUGACGCUGAGGAGCGAAAGCGUGGGGAGCGAACAGGAUUAGAUACCCCAGUAGUCCCUGUCUCUUAUAC
This 301-nucleotide ribosomal RNA is filed under the name uncultured bacterium. RNAcentral's name for it is "partial 16S ribosomal RNA". It matches the Rfam family "Bacterial small subunit ribosomal RNA", at positions 509 to 807 of the family's 1533-position model. The record is from RNAcentral.